This 388-nucleotide ribosomal RNA is filed under the name uncultured bacterium. Its description in RNAcentral is "bacterial SSU rRNA". It matches the Rfam family "Bacterial small subunit ribosomal RNA", at positions 28 to 417 of the family's 1533-position model. The record is from RNAcentral.
GACGAACGCUGGCGGCGUGCUUAACACAUGCAAGUCGAGCGGUAAGGCCCUUUCGGGGGUACACGAGCGGCGAACGGGUGAGUAACACGUGGGUGACCUGCCCUCAGCUCUGGGAUAAGCCUGGGAAACCGGGUCUAAUACCGGAUAUGACUCCAUGACGCAUGUUGUGGGGUGGAAAGCCUUGUGCGGCUGAGGAUGGGCCCGCGGCCUAUCAGCUUGUUGGUGGGGUGAUGGCCUACCAAGGCGACGACGGGUAGCCGGCCUGAGAGGGCGACCGGCCACACUGGGACUGAGACACGGCCCAGACUCCUACGGGAGGCGGCAGUGGGGAAUCUUGCGCAAUGGGCGAAAGCCUGACGCAGCGACGCCGCGUGAGGGAUGACGGCCU